AGCAAUUUUAUUAAAAAGUCUUACUGUAUAAGAUAAAGAAAUGAGCAUCUAGGGUUUAUAUAAGGACAUUCUCACCUAUUUACAUGUGCAAAGUAGCAGCUUGAGGCAACCAGCAGCAAUGUAAGACCAGUAAGAAACCCUAACCACAUCCAUGCACAGGAGAUGUACAGGACUUAAAAACAGUUUCCGGACAAUGCUUCUUCUAGUACAGUAUCCGUACUGCACCACUUUGCUUGUAGAAGGAAUGGAGGAUAGUAGCAUUGGAAAAACAACAUAAAGAGUCUCCAGGUAGGCACAACGAUACUUCAAGUUUAGGAAUACAAGUCGUGUGAAAUUUUGACUAUCCCUUUUGUAGGUGAAACAUAUCUCAUAUGGAGGAGUUAAAUAAUAAUAGCGCGUGCCCGGUUAAAUUGCUCAUGCAUCAAAAUUGACAUUAUAGGAAAUGUGGACCUUGUUCAAUUACAUAAGAUAUCAAACUGCUUGAAAUAAAUUGGGCAAAAGCCAUAAUCGGAAAUUAAAACCUGCAAACAAGGAGGUCCAAAUACCAAAACGAAAUUCCAUUGGUUUCAGAUCUUUAUCAGUCAAGACUAAUGAAAUCAUUAAUCAUGUUUUCCUAGUACCUGAUACGACUUCAGGGGGGUAUUGAAGAAGAUUGGCAGAUGCACCGAAGAUCUCUGCAUCUUAUUAAUGAUUGUCUGACAUUUCAAAACCCCUCCUGCAAAAUGAGAUAUAAAACCAUUGGCCUAACAGCAAAAUCAGCCACAAAAUCAGAUAAUAAGACAGCACUAACUGCUUCUCCAUUUGUUGCCACAGAUAUUUGUAAAAAGAUGACCAAGGAGAGCUAUCUACCAAGAAGAAUAUUCACCUGUAUCUGUAAGCCCUGGAUAAUUCAUCUGGUGAGACA
RNAcentral lists this long non-coding RNA (904 nucleotides) under Ricinus communis (castor bean). RNAcentral's name for it is "long non-coding RNA (RCOM_LNC000257)". The record is from RNAcentral. Lineage: Eukaryota; Viridiplantae; Streptophyta; Magnoliopsida; Malpighiales; Euphorbiaceae.